GAAGGUGGCCUGUGAGGGUUGCUGGAGGUAUCAGAAGUGCGAAUGCUGACAUAAGUAACGAUAAUGCGGGUGAAAAACCCGCACGCCGGAAGACCAAGGGUUCCUGUCCAACGUUAAUCGGGGCAGGGUGAGUCGACCCCUAAGGCGAGGCCGAAAGGCGUAGUCGAUGGGAAACAGGUUAAUAUUCCUGUACUUGGUGUUACUGCGAAGGGGGGACGGAGAAGGCUAUGUUAGCCGGGCGACGGUUGUCCCGGUUUAAGCAUGUAGGCGGAGGUUCCAGGUAAAUCCGGUACCUUAUUAACGCUGAGGUGUGAUGACGAGGCACUACGGUGCUGAAGUAACAAAUGCCCUGCUUCCAGGAAAAGCCUCUAAGCAUCAGGUAACAUCAAAUCGUACCCCAAACCGACACAGGUGGUCAGGUAGAGAAUACCAAGGCGCUUGAGAGAACUCGGGUGAAGGAACUAGGCAAAAUGGUGCCGUAACUUCGGGAGAAGGCACGCUGACAUGUAGGUGAAGUGAUUUACUCA
This 527-nucleotide ribosomal RNA is filed under the name Salmonella enterica. RNAcentral describes it as "partial 23S ribosomal RNA". It matches the Rfam family "Bacterial large subunit ribosomal RNA", at positions 1252 to 1773 of the family's 2925-position model. Lineage: Bacteria; Pseudomonadati; Pseudomonadota; Gammaproteobacteria; Enterobacterales; Enterobacteriaceae. RNAcentral also lists the same sequence under 3 other names. The record is from RNAcentral.